This 497-nucleotide unclassified non-coding RNA is filed under the name uncultured Glomus. RNAcentral describes it as "SSU rRNA". It matches the Rfam family "Eukaryotic small subunit ribosomal RNA", at positions 591 to 1092 of the family's 1831-position model. Lineage: Eukaryota; Fungi; Glomeromycota; Glomeromycetes; Glomerales; Glomeraceae. The record is from RNAcentral.
CCAAUAGCGUAUAUUAAAGUUGUUGCAGUUAAAAAGCUCGUAGUUGAAUUUCGAGAUCAAUUUGUGGGUCGUGCCUCGGUACGUACUGGCAUUAUUGAUUUCUCCCUUCUGAAGAACCGCGAUGUCAUUAAUUUGGUGUCGUGGGGAAUCAGGACUGUUACUUUGAAAAAAUUAGAGUGUUUAAAGCAGGCACACGCUUGAAUACAUUAGCAUGGAAUAAUGAAAUAGGACGUUUGAUUCUAUUUUGUUGGUUUCUAGGAUUGACGUAAUGAUUAAUAGGGAUAGUUGGGGGCAUUAGUAUUCAAUUGUCAGAGGUGAAAUUCUUGGAUUUAUUGAAGACUAACUACUGCGAAAGCAUUUGCCAAGGAUGUUUUCAUUAAUCAAGAACGAAAGUUAGGGGAUCGAAGACGAUCAGAUACCGUCGUAGUCUUAACCAUAAACUAUGCCGACUAGGGAUCGGAUGAUGUUAUUUUUAAUGACUCAUUCGGCGCCUUACG